This 10466-nucleotide unclassified non-coding RNA is filed under the name Haliotis rufescens (red abalone). RNAcentral's name for it is "diacylglycerol kinase delta-like, transcript variant X13". The record is from RNAcentral. Lineage: Eukaryota; Metazoa; Mollusca; Gastropoda; Lepetellida; Haliotidae.
UGUCCCUGACGAACCUGGAAGCACUGAAGAGUUCGCCCGACUUAACGUUCGAGGCAAAAUGGCCGCCCCCAGAAAGCACGGAUAUCCAUCAGUGAAAGUGGCAGAAAUUACCGUACAGGACGAUUCGUCGGACAGUGAUGCCGAAACUGAACCAGCUAAAGUUUUCCACAGACGCAUAUCAACUAACCGAGCUAUAAAAUCGUCUACAUGCACCAAAGAAGGUUACCUCAUGAAGCAGACCAGCUCCUUCCAGCGCUGGAAGCGACGGUAUUUCAAGCUGCAGGGAAGAAGACUCUACUAUGCAAAGGAUACCAAGUCUCUGAUUUUUGAUGAGAUCGACCUGACAAACCUCAGUGUGGCCGAAUGCAGCACCAAAAACAUCAACCACAGCUUCCAGGUUAUAACCCCCUUCAGAAACCUCAUCUUGUGCAGUGAUUCUCGCAGGGAAAUGGAGGAGUGGAUUAGUGCUUUAAAAAUGGCUGCCAACAAAGAAUAUUACGAGAUGGAGGUCAACAGAUGUCUUUUUGAGCAGGGUACUACUAGUCACACAGAGAUGAUGUCAGGGCAACACAACUGGUACGCCUGUUCCCACGCACGCCCUACGUACUGCAACGUGUGUCGGGAGGCUCUCUCCGGGGUCACGUCACACGGCCUGUCCUGUGAAGUUUGUAAAUUCAAGGCUCAUAAGCGAUGUGCAGUCCGUGCUCCGACAGACUGCAAGUGGACAUCACUGUCAUCCAUCGGCAAAGACAUCAUCGAGGAGGAGGAGGAGGGAAUCUCAUUACCACACCAGUGGCUGGAAGGCAACCUACCUGUCAGUGCUAAAUGCAAUGUCUGUGAUAAAACCUGCGGCAGCGUUCUCCGUCUCCAAGACUGGCGCUGCCUCUGGUGUCGAGCUAUGGUGCAUACGACAUGUAAAGAACAAUUCUAUAGGAAAUGCCCCCUUGGUCAAUGCCGCUUGUCUGUGCUACCUCCCAUCGCUAUUAACAGCAUUGACUCGGACGGCUACUGGGAGGCGACCCGACCCCCGGGGACCAGCCCGCUACUGGUGUACGUCAACACCAAAAGUGGGGACAAUCAGGGAGUAAAAUUUUUACGAAGAUUUAAGCAGCUGUUGAAUCCUGCUCAGGUGUUUGAUCUCAUGAAUGGCGGCCCCUACCCAGGGCUACGAUUAUUCCAAAAAUUUGAUUCCUUCCGUAUUCUCAUCUGUGGGGGCGAUGGCAGUAUUGGAUGGGUGCUUUCUGAGAUUGACAAACUAGAUCUACAUCGACAGUGCCAAAUAGGGGUGCUACCGUUCGGGACGGGGAAUGACUUGGCGCGGGUCCUAGGGUGGGGGGCAGCGUUCGACGACGACACACAACUUCCAGCUGCACUGGAGAAACUGGAGCAUGCUCAGAUCAAAAUGUUGGAUCGCUGGAGUAUAUGGACGUACGAGGGCACCAUGCCGCCUCCUAGAAAACUGUCUCAACAGACUGAUCCCAUCUCCCAGUAUGAGGACUCCGUCGCUGCCCAUCUGUCCAAAAUACUUCAUUCCGAAGAUCAUCAGGUUGUGAUAUCCUCUGCCAAAGUUUUAUGUGAAACUGUCAAAGAUUUUGUAGCCAAAGUGGGAGAUUCUCAUGAGGAGGAGCCUGAGAAGGAAGAGCCCGAGGGAGAGUCUAUUGCCAUGAAGUGUGCUGUGUUAAAUGAGAAACUAGAAGGGUUGUUGAAGACUCUCAACCAUGAAUCGAAGGCUUCAACAGAGGAGCCGGAGGAGGAGAUUGUGGAGGAGCCUGUGAUUGGCUCCCCGGAGAGAGACAUAGUCCCAGGGGAGAUAACUGGCCCCAUCAAAGUCAGAUCUGCUAUAUUCCGACCCCGAGAUGCCUUGAUGUCACGAGCCAACAGCUUGAAGAAAGCGGUGCGGCAGAUCAUAGAACACACAGAGAAAGCUGUUGAUGAACAAAAUGAGCAGACGCGGCAGAUGAUGCUUGAAACAGGGGCAGAUAAUCGGGACGUAGAGAACGCUGGCAUGACAGACGGGACGACAUCUCGGUCGGCUCCAAGCUUCUCAAUAUUCACAAUGGAGCCACCGCCUCCUCCUCCUCCACCGGCUCCAAUUUGGAUGGAUGGGUCUCGCUCUCCUAGAGGUCCGUCGUCACGUAGGAUCAGCAGUAUGAGUACGUUCAACCGCUCCGCCAGCGUGGGCUCCAACCUCUGCACCAACAGGGACACCCUGCAUGUGCCCCCCACGCCCGGACUGCCCACAUUUGACCAUCACCACAUGAUGCUGCCUGGGAUGAGCAGCAGUCUGGCCAAGACUCUGGGUGGAGGCAGCUUCAUCAGCAAGGUGCUUCUCGCCAAUGCCGAUGCCCUCUGUGCAGCAGCAUCACCGCUAUUAGAAGAAGAUAUCCCAGAGCUGUACACAGAGAGAUGUGUUAUGAACAACUACUUUGGUAUUGGCCUCGACGCCAAGAUCAAUCUAGAGUUCCAGAUGAAGCGGGAUGAGCAUCCCGAGAAGUGUAGGAGUAGGACGAAGAAUCUGAUGUGGUACGGAGUCCUGGCCAGCAAGGAGAUACUGCAUCGCACCUUCAAGAACCUGGACCAGAGAGUCCUCCUGGAGUGUGAUGGACAGAGAAUUCCCCUGCCUAGUCUUAAGGGGAUCGUCAUUCUAAACAUUCCAAGUUAUGGUGGAGGGGCAAAUUUCUGGGGUGGUACCAAAGAAGAUACAAAUUUCACUGCGCCAAGUUUCGAUGACAAGAUUCUGGAAGUGGUAGCUGUGUUCGGGGGAGUGCAGAUGGCGGUGUCAAGGGUCAUCGACAUUCAGCAUCAUCGAAUCUGUCAGUGUCGGACUGUGAAGAUCACCAUCCUGGGGGACGAGGGGGUACCUGUGCAGGUGGAUGGGGAGGCAUGGACCCAACCCCCGGGCUUCAUCCGCAUCGUGCACAAGAACCGCGCACAGAUGCUGACCAGAGACAGGACUUUCGAGAAUGUGUUAAAAUCGUGGUCUGAGAAGCAGAAGACGGAUCGAUCAGUCAGUCCACAACCAGCACCCUUGUCGGAAGAUGAGGCUCACAUAUUACUGAAUUUCGUGGAGGCAGCAGCAUCGCUCAUUCGAUGUGUGAAAGUAGCUGCCCGAAGUCAUAGUACAAUAGAACAAGAGUUAUUUCCCCUUGCUCAACAAGCCUCUUCCUGUCUGGAUCGUCUGUACCCAUCAGGAAAACUUCCUGAGCUUGAGUCUUCGGAGUCUGAGACCUACCAGCCCACACUGCGGAGUCAAGUGUCCGACCUGCUACACAGUGUGAAACUCCUCUACAACGAAGCAAGCCUCUUCCUCUCUGACAAGGCACCAGCCAUGUCCAAUGUUCACCUGUGGCACGACAUCGAGGAGAAGCUGAGCAUGUGCCUGGCGACCCUUGAGGAAGAGAUGAGGAAGGUGGCCAACAUCAGCGGUGUGGGCCAGUACACACAGACACCAGAGGAAGGUUUGAAGUUCGAGGCUGGACCCCCGAGGAAGUUGGUGUCUGGCUGGAGAAACUCUCACUAGGGGACUACCGCGAGGCCUUCAUCAGCCACGAGAUCCGCGGGUCAGAGCUCCUCAACUUGGAGCGCAGAGAUCUCAAGGACCUCGGGGUGACGAAGGUGGGACACUUGAAGAGAAUCCAGCAGGGCAUCAAGGAGCUGCUGAACAGGGAGCUGGCGCUGGAACGAGCCGAGAAGGCCAGCUCCUGACAUUUAGCUGCCGUUGCUGCCGAUGCUGCGAUGUCCUACUGACACUAACGUCGCUGCUGAAGCUGCUCUAUCGGACAGACUGCAAUGUUUAGAGUGCUCCAUCAGCACCAUCAGCAUCAGCACCUGAUGACAUGGACUGUCUGGAUGACAGGGUGUGGUGACGUCAUCAGACAGCGUCGACCGUUGGCAUGCACGAUGUUGUAUGAUAUUGUUAUGUGAUAAUCCCUGGGACCACGGCUGUUUCAGCACUUUAUUUCUAUGAACACUUCCGACAUUUAUUAUUGUUUCGUUUGUGUAAGGUGAAAGCUUAUAGAUACAACCUCAAGAGCGUGUAUAUUAUCCAGGUUUUUGAUCAUCCUUUGUUAAUAUGGCUCGGUCAUUUGCUUAUCAUGGAACAAAGGAGUUUGGGCUGGGAAAUGUUUCUCACACAUGGGAAGGUUAAACAGUGCUCUUGAAUAUUAAAUUAUUACUUUUGUAAGUUGAAAAGGUUCAUUUAAUUUUGCAAUUUGUAGUUACAGAGAUGCUGAACAUUUGAAAAAGGGUCUAUUCUUGAUUUUAAUGGAGCUCAGCUGGCCUGAAAGAGUUACUCUGUCGUGGAACUAAUCUUUUUCAUAAAAUUGGCAUCUUUGUACUAAGCUGGAAAUUCUUUCAGCGUAUUAAGCAAAGUCCCUCAUGUUUUGCUGUAUUGACAAGGCAAGAUAAAUCUGAACAUAGUGCUGUUUUAAUUUUGUUCAUGCUCAUACUUGUGUUAUUGAGGGAAUAUUGUCCGGAAUAUUCCCAACUUUUUUACCUCCCUGCAUCAUCGCUUUCACAAACCCUUCAUAAUAGGGCCAUAUAAAAAUGUUUUUUAGACGGUUAUACAACUUGCAGCUAGCCUGCUCCUCAAUGACAAUAUAUUACCGUAAUCAAAUACAUACCAUGCCUGUCCAGUAUUUAUUUACAUAUUUAUGUGUAAUUUAUCAUUUUCACACAAGAAAUGUCCAAAAGACCAUUAUGUUUUUAGAUCUACAUUUGAGGCAUUAGUUUAUGUUUUGUAUUAAUGAGAAGCAUGUUACUGGAAGUGUCAUGUUUAAGUUCAAAUAUUUGUUGCAGAGAAUUUUGGUGAGUGUGAAAAAUGUGUCACUUUCUAUAUGUUCUAAAUGGCUUUAACUUAUUUAUUCUGCCAAGAUACAAAUGGUUUCAAACAGGAAUAUUCAUCUUAUAUUUGUAAGAUAGUAUUGAAUGUAUCUUUCAUUCCUAUUUUGUAUAUUUUGCAUUGUUUAGGUAUAGCCAGAAUUUCGUAUUGUACAGCAGGUCUGUAUUAAAGUCUCUGUAUGACCAAAGAGCCAUUGCAGGGCCCUGUUCUACAAAUUGAUCUUAGCGCUAAGACAGUCGUAACUAGUGCUAAGAUCUCUUUGGGGAACAGGGCCUUCGACCUUAUUCCAUAAAUGAUCUGAGUACCUCAAAGAUCGUAUGUCUAUAUUAAGGUAUGUUCGUUUUUUGGUCUUAGCGCUAUGAUGAUCAUACAUUUAUGUUGAGGUAUUGGUGUUACGAUCGUCUUAGUACUAUGAUUAUUGUAUGUCUUUUUCAAGGUAUGAGAGUUGCAAUCGUCUUAGCGCUAAGAUCGCUGUGCAGAUUGUGAGACACAGCUCCAACGAGUAUAUGCUUGUGUUCAGGUGUGGGAGUUGUGAUCGUCUUAGCGCUAAGAUCGCUGUGCAGAUUGUGAGACACAGCUCCAACGAGUAUAUGCUUGUGUUCAGGUGUGGGAGUUGUGAUCGUCUUAGCGCUAAGAUCGCUGUAUGGAACGAGGCCCUGGGAUGGAUGUGUUCCUGGCUGGUGUGACUCACAUGUAGUAACCAGCAUUGUAGUCAUCAAUGAUAAUCAUUGUCUCAUUCAUUGUCUCAUUCAGUUGGGACCCGUGAAGAUCGGGGGAAGAACAGGUCUUCAGUAACCCAUGCUUGCCGUAAAAGGUGACUAUGCUUGUCGUAAGAGGCGACUAACAGGAUCGGGUGGUCAGGGUCGCUGACUUGGUUGAUGCAUGUCAUCGUAUCCCAAUUGUGUGGAUCUAUGCUCAUGCUGUCACUCACUGGAUUGUCUGGUCCAGACUCGAUUAGUUACAACCGUCGUCAUAUAGCUGGAAUAUUGCUGAGUGCGGCUUUAAACAACACACAAACGAAUCACUCAGUUGGACAUUGUUGCCUCCAGUUUAUAAGCUCAGUUGACAGUGGUUUUAAAAGAUUUGAAAAACACAGGUUAUGUAGAAUAGAAUAGGAACAUUGAAAAUUCAAACACUGACAAAUUUUAGUGUCAAUCAAGAAUGGUCAGAUUUAUUUGUUAUAAUAUCUGACCUUGUUAAUUUUUCUGCCAUAAUUCUGAUGCUGAAACGAUACACUGAAAUCACAGAUAAAUUCUUUGUAUAAUCCAAAGUUAUUGUUAUUUUAAAUGAAUACACGAUCAAAUCGAAUAGUCACAUGCUAGAGCUGAAGUGUUGAUCAGUACCAAUUUAAAGAUGCCCCAAUGUCAAUAUCAAAUGAUACAUAUUUGCACAGAGAAGCAUAUUGUAUACCAUGACGGAAAAAGAGCAACGUAAAAAAACCGGGUGUUUUGUGUAGUCCAUACUGUAAAAUUAGUAUCUCAGUGGAUCGUUUCAACCUUACAAAAUUCUCCUUAUCCAAAUGUUUACUGAGAAUGGAGUCCCCAGUGCCGGGAGGUGCUGUCAUGUUCUCGUGCAUCCCCUAGGGCAGGCCUCGACUACCCACGUGGCCGAGAUAGCAUUCUUUACUAGUUUUCUUUUUUGUGGCGUUUUUUUCACAAUGCAACAAAUCCUUUUAUGUACCACAAGAUGUCCUAGGCUCUACAUGGGAUUUCUAGAUUUGACACUGGAUGUGUCCCUUAUCUAGACAGAUGUUCCAGUUUUUAGAUUCAACGGUUUCAAGUUCUAGAUUUCAACAUGUUCCAUUUUUCUAGAGUUGAUAUGUUGAUAUGCCAAUUUUGUAGCAAGAAUGUUCGAUAUGUAGACAGUGAUUUAGGUAUGUUGUUUUCUGACUGAGCACUCGGAUUGUGGAACAUUGGCUACUACGUGUUUAUUACUUGUUUUCAAGACGGUGCAAGCUGUGUGGGUCCCUCCUCCAUAGAAUAGUGUUUUGUAAUUAUGACUGUGGUUAUGUUUGUUGUAUAGUUCCCAUAUUGGAUGUUGACAGUUGUUGGUGUAUUGACAGCCUGUAUUGGCUGUAUCCGUUGUACUUGUUACAUUUUCAUGUCAAGUCUUUGAGUCUCCGAGGACUCGUCACAUGAUAGCGUUUUCAAAAUUUUGUAUAUAUUUUCCACAUUUUGUACCUUCGAAUACCGUCAUAUCCUAAUGGUGACUUUUUGUGCAAACACAUACCUUUUCUAUAUUGCCGAUAUUUGAUACUAUCUUGCUUAUGUUUUUUAUACAAGCGACAGUUAAAAAGAUGUGGUGAUGUAUGAAGUUGAAUGAUGUUUUUGUUUUAGCAUUUGAACCAUUUUGAGAUUUAUUUUUUAUAAAGUGAUUUCAUGAAUGUCUAUAUUAUUUACUGAAUAUAUUUUUGUUAAAUAAAUAGCACCAUCUUCUUGUCAGAGAAUACUAUUAGGCAGUUAUUACAAUUAAGAUUCUCUGUUUGGAGGGGCCAGAACUCAAGUAAUUGCAGGUCAAGGGACAUAACUCUUAUCAUGUUUUCACAGACAUUUUUUUUAAUGAAACUGAAUAUUGACAUUUUUAUCGCAUAAUUGAUAAAUUGUUUAACAUCAAAAAAUUAUUUUUUCUAAGAACUGUAUCUGGAUAAAAAAUGUCAUAAUUUUGCUUGCCAACACAAAGAGCAAAUUUUUACAUCAGGGCAUUACAUCAGUGAUCUCGAGGGAUCCAGUACAUUGAUUUAUAGACCUUGCUGUGUUUAAGUAUUUUGGGGGAUUUGGUGAACAAUUAAAACAAUAUGAAUAUUUACUAUGAAAACAUCAUUCAACUUCAGCCAGUAGUCAGGAUUCGAUGUGAAGACAAUGUUUGAUGGGACAGAGGAAAGCAAGGAUUCAAAUGGCACGUUUAUUUAUUACAAACCAGUUUAUUUUCCAGAGCUGUCUCGGUAAAUUGUCAAUAAUGCAUUGAAAGUAUUUUUACUAUCACUGUGAAAGAUACUGACAGUAAGAUAAACAAUUAUCAUCUGGUACCGAAAGGCCCUGUUACUAUGUCAGUGUCUCGAUAAGAAAUGAUUUGACACUUUAUCGAAACGGUUUUGUUUGGUGAACUGGCAUUUUGUUCACUAUAGCCCAUAAUGGGCAUCACAUGUAUAUAUUUUCUGACGUAUAGAAUUCUAUUUUUGCAUGGCUUGAAUCUGAAUCUGUUGAACUUGAUCUACUUGAGGAGGCAGUAUUGCAGAAGCUUGCUAGGAAUUGACUUUUGUGUGAAGAUUUAAACCCAGAUUUAUGCCUAAUAUUCUCACUGCUUGAAGUGUUGAGUUUUUUAAAGAUUAUGGAGAUGUUUUGAUUUUUGCCACAGUAAAUUAUUCCAUCAGGGACAGGGCCCACCACCCACAAGUGUUUGUAGCGCUACGAGAAUCAGAAGUGGAACUAUGGAGAUACGACAUUUGUAGUGCUACAAAUGUUUUGUCGAGGCCAAGGAUAAGAAAUAUUGUUUUGGACAUUUCAAGUGCCCUGCUCUCAAGUGCCUCACAUAUUUUGAUAACGGAAUUUCCUUAACUACCAUAUCCCGUGUCUCCUGCCAGUUUGUCUGUACAGUCUACCAGUGACUGAAGACCAUCAACAUCAACCAUGAUAGAAGUAUUUGAAGCCUUUCGCUCACUGACUGAACGAUUGCUUCUUUAUACAUGUGUAUAAUUUAUAGAACCUGAAAUUGCAUUUUUAUGCCUUUGCCUAGUGAUAAAAAAUAAUUUAGCAAAAUAAUCAAAAGAUGGGUUAGGCUAUUGAAUGAAUUUCAAUUUCCGAUCAAGGUUUCCCUAAGUGAUACUGUCUUCUUGAUCCUUGAGAAUCAACACUCUUCUUGUCCUUGGCACCAAGGACAAACUGGUCCUAGCAUUCCGCUCACAGUCCCAGGAAGCUGCAGUGGGGACUAACCCCGUGGCACAAGGUAGAGUUAACAUACUAAAAUUCUAACAUUGUCAUAGUGGGGAUUUUCCUGUAGAGGUGUGGCUUGAAGUGAACUCAUUCUGAAAACUGUUGUGUCAGUUAUUUGGGAGUUCAGGGUCAAAUAGCUCUUUUAUGGGGUGUAGUUUUUCCUUGGCUGCUUCCUGGAGACUGAAGAAGAUGCAGGAACAUGUUGUCCGUGGUGACGAAGAUUAUCUCUUCUGUGAUAUCACCUUGUGACACAUCCAUGAUGCAUCAGUGUUCCCAUGGUAACUAGUGUUUCCUCUGCUUCCAUAUUGUCUGCAAAUGUUGUAUUUUAUACUGCCCAUGUCAAAAUGUUCUGUGUUAAACGGCUUCACAUUAGGACUUUUCACCAGCUUUAGAUAUGUUAGAAAUCAUCCCCUCCUGCAAUAUUUUUGAAAUCAUGUACAACUUAUUACUCUUAAAGAGAGAUCUUUUCUAAUAAUUUCAAAGCAAACAGUGUUUAAAUUUAAUAUUUACCAACCUUUAGGUAAUGGUACUAGAGAUUUAAAAAAAAUUGUAAUGAAAAGAAAUCUCAUACACUCCUAGAGAAAUUAUAAAAUGCAGGUUUAGGUCUUAUAAUUUUAGGCCCUGCUAAAGAAAAUGGUAUUUUACUUCAGAAAAAUAGCUUCAAACUUCUUCGUGUUUGUGUGCCUUACAGUAUACAUCUUUCACUGUAGAUGGUGGUGUACAGAUCUUAUUUGUCCAUGCUUUGGGCCCCAGGUGUGCACCAUUGGCCCCGAACAUGGACAAAUGUUAUACUGGCAACUCACUUUAGUCAGCUCUUCAUCGUCACACUGUAACAUUUCAUAUCAACUUUUUCUAAUGUCUUUUAUAUUUUUAUAUUCUUUUAGCGGACACAUAUUGUUUCAUAUGCUUGAUGAAACUCCAUGUCGAUGUUCACAAGAUACAAUCAACAAAAUGAAAAAUAUGUACUUGUUCACACUUACGAGGUUCUCCCCCCCCACACACACACACACACCAUCCCAAAUUUUGGACACUUGUUUCUUUUUGUGAAUGUUUUUUUUGUUAUUGCUGUGAAAUUCUAGUAACUAUCUACCUACCAACGAAUGUAUUACCAACACUCUGUGACUUAAUCUUCCAAAAUUGGGGAGAAACAACUUUCUUGGCUAAGAUUCUAGAAACCAUGAGGAUAAAUGUUGUGAUUUUAGGAAAUGUUAGCCAAAAAGAGUUGUCUCCCUUUGAGGACUUCUUACAUUCCAAUUGCUGUGCCUCCAUUGAAUUGAUUUCAGAGGGAUGAGUGGACAAGGGACUAUUCGCUUCCUCAGGAAUUUGAAGUCUCAUUGUACAUCGUGUCUGUCAGACAAAUCUGUUCAACACAAUUCUCCUCACAACUAGGGUAAUUUUUUUUUUGCAGUGUUUUGGAAAAUGUCUGCAGCUAAACUCUGGUGGGGAGUGCAUAUCUGUAUUCGUCACAUCCAGAGCAUAAAUAAUGUAAGAGUAACGUGUUAUUUUACUUAUCCUGACCAGGAAAGUAUGUGUAUAAAUCAAAUAUUACUUGGAGCACAAUUGCCAAUAUAACCUUUACAGAUAUUUUUUCUUAUCUCAAUUUUUCUUCCUAGUGUCUGCGUGAAACUUACAUGUGAUAGGUACAACUUCUUAUUUUUGAAAGAAAACAAUAAAGUGAAAAUCCCUUAUCACAAAAA